UACCAGCACCCCGAGUGGUCGGGACGAUUAUUGGGCCUAAAGCAUCCGUAGCCGGUCAUGCAAGUCCUCCGUUAAAUCCACCUGCUUAACAGAUGGGCUGCGGAGGAUACUACAAGGCUAGGAGGCGGAAGAGGCAAGCGGUACUCAGUGGGUAGGGGUAAAAUCCUCUGAUCCAUUGAAGACCACCAGUGGCGAAGGCGGCUUGCCCAUACGCGCUCGACGGUGAGGGAUGAAAGCUGGGGGAGCAAACCGG
This 253-nucleotide ribosomal RNA is filed under the name uncultured bacterium. Its description in RNAcentral is "partial 16S ribosomal RNA". It matches the Rfam family "Archaeal small subunit ribosomal RNA", at positions 474 to 727 of the family's 1478-position model. The record is from RNAcentral.